Molecule: long non-coding RNA, 446 nt
Filed under: Gallus gallus (chicken)
Lineage: Eukaryota; Metazoa; Chordata; Aves; Galliformes; Phasianidae
Description: long non-coding RNA NONGGAT011973
Source: RNAcentral
UGGGUGCCAUUGUCCUCUGCAUGGCUGCAGCAUUCUGAUGUCAUGGAGGCAGAAUGAGGAACAGUGGGGGGUCACCCCCUGUGUGGGUAAACCUGCGAGUAGGGAGCAGUGCGAGCAGGAUGUGCAAACAGCACAGGGCAGCAGUUUGGACUGGCAAUUCAUGCAGUGCAGUUGAGCAGGGAAAGCAAGGAAGAAAACCAGGAAUAACGGGCGGGAAGAGGAGGUACAAAACCCACAGGAAAAAGCAGUACCUACCCACACUGGCUGCAUGGUUUUUUGCACUUCUCUAUGAGAAGACUAAUACUUCACUGCUGCCUCUCAUGCUAACAGAAUCCAUCUGCUUGGCCUGAUGCCCAGCUGUUUGCUGCCCAUCACCAUCACCAGGGAUGCAGAUGUGCCUACAUCUCCACUCUUCAGGCUUACUCCCACGAUUCUUAAAAAAACAC